CCUACGGGGGACAGCAGUGAGGAAUAUUGGUCAAUGGACGAGAGUCUGAACCAGCCAAGUCGCGUGAAGGAAGACGGCCCUAUGGGUUGUAAACUUCUUUUAUCGGGGAAUAAAACGUUCCACGUGUGAGAUUUUGUGUGUACCAGAUGAAAAAGCAUCGGCUAACUCCGUGCCAGCAGCCGCGGUAAUACGGAGGAUGCGAGCGUUAUCCGGAUUUAUUGGGUUUAAAGGGUGCGCAGGCGGUUGUUUAAGUCAGCGGUGAAAGUGCGGGGCUCAACCCCGUACUGCCGUUGAAACUGGGAGUCUUGAGUGCGCGAGAAGUGUGCGGAAUUCGUGGUGUAGCGGUGAAAUGCAUAGAUAUCACGAAGAACUCCGAUUGCGAAGGCAGCAUACCGGCGCCCAACUGACGCUGAGGCACGAAAGCGUGGGUAUCGAACAGGAUUAGAUACCCCAGUAGUC
This 459-nucleotide ribosomal RNA is filed under the name uncultured bacterium. RNAcentral's name for it is "partial 16S ribosomal RNA". It matches the Rfam family "Bacterial small subunit ribosomal RNA", at positions 338 to 795 of the family's 1533-position model. The record is from RNAcentral.